GUCAUGUCAGUACAAGGCGCCAACUAUCUACCUUCCUCUCUCCUACGUUGACAUGAAUGCAUCGGAGCUGCUUUGAAUGUAAUUUUGAAGGAGCGGGGACCUCGGUCACCUCGGCCUUGAGCUCCUGGAAGCCGGCGUGUCCCUGCUGCCAUGCCGAGUCUGUCACGGAAGCACAUCCACCAGUCCACACGUUUGUUGUUGUGUUGAGUUGAAUGUGAAGGCGUGAUGCUACGGCAGCGGACUCACCUCUCAGACUGCUACUGUCACCUUGCCUGUUGGGACGCGCCAUCAGUAAAAUGUGUGCAUGCUUGCUGUUCCAUAAAAAGCUUGAAGUGACAGUUGCUGACCAAAAAACUGACCUGGCAUCUGUUUCGAACUCCUGCUUAGCCCUGGGCGGCACCAUGGGGCUCUGAGGUGGGCAGGGUCUGUUCCGCAGUCUCUCCAUCUCCCUCAACGUCUCCUCCAUGCGGUGCUGAAGCCCGCCCAGCUCCCUCUCCAGGCGUUCCUUCUCCCCCUGCAGCAGGUUCCUCUCGCCCACCGUGCGGGUCAGCGUCUCCUGAAGUUCGGACUGGCUCCGGCCUCCAGCCUGGGUGGUGGCGCCAGUGAGCCUGGACACCAGCGCCUCCAGCAGGGAGAGUCUGGCCUUGAGGCCCUCCACCUCUGGGCUUCCAGUCUGCGGGCAGCUGGCCUCAGCGGGGCUGGCCACGGUGAAGGUGUAGUGGCAUCGCCCGCUACGGUCGUUCCCCCUCCAGAGGGCAGCGCGGUCCUGAGCGUCCCCUUGGGCCAGAAGCCCCACAAGGCAGAGCAGGAGGAACAUGAUGGAGGUAACCAUGGUUAACAGAGGAAGAACAAUCAUUUCAAGAACUUUGUUAACUAGAGAAUCACUAACACGAUGUCAACUGGUCCUUUUGUGGCAGGUCUGAAAUGCAGUGGAAAUUGUGUUUUGGGGAUUAAGUUCAUUUUCAUAACCAAGAGUUACUUUGCAGUUCAUUACCAUUCAUCUUAUCACUCUUCACAAUGUUCUGGGAUACGUGCAAAUUAUAAUACAAACUGAGGCAGCAGAUUUUGUGGAAAUUAAUAUUUCUUGUCAUUCUCAAAACUUUUGGCCAAGACUGUAGGCGAACUUCUGAUGCGUUCUCAGGCUGGUGAGGUGAACCAAGCAGAAACGAAGUGGUUAAAAGGGAGCGCAGGAUUAAGCGUUAAAACCAUGGUUGUUUUGAUAAACCCAAUCCAAAGGGUUUAAAGUGUCUUUCGUUGGAGACUUGUUGUCUUAACUUCCAGCUACUGACCCGCCCAGAUCAUCCUCCCAGCAGUGGCUGACUAAUAGAGCUUGGCAUCGUUGUCCUCUCCUUCAUCUUCUUGUGAGUUUGAUUCCCUUUCAUGUGACUCACGUAACCGCCGCUAUGCCCGGAAUCUGAAGUCAUUGGUCUGAGCCGUCAAACAGAGCACCAAAACAUCCUGUGCUGCCAAUGUGGGAGGGAUGAAAAUGUCCCCUCAUGCAGACAUUUAUAGAAUGAUGUUUUUAUUUUCCCGCUCUCUUGCACAUGGACUGACGGUCACCGCCUCCACUUGAACAAUCAAAGGCUUUUCAUAUUAACAGGCCUGUGAUGAGGUAGAUGUGUUUAACAGUUACCCUCGCAAAGGGCAGAGUCACGAUGGCGAGGGUCUGUGAGAAGAACGAGGUCCGACACGCUGUGACUUUUAGGGAGAAGUUGAUGCUAAUAAAAUGCUAACCUAAUGAGGGGAUUUAAAAGACAGCUCAGGCACAGACUUAUUUUUCUUCGUCUUUUCAUCUCCUGUCAACUUUCCUACCAUACCCCCCCACCCCCACAACACACACACACACACGUUCCUCCAACCUGUCCCUCCAUCUUUUACGGCUUGGAAGGCCUCCACAAGCCUGAGCCUGGCGACUCACUCAAACCAGAUCAAACCGGUGAACGGACCUUUAAAAGCACUUUAUUUCAGGAAAAGGGGGGAGACAAAAAAAAGUAAGGGUUGGAAUGCCAAAGUAUUGUGUCGUCUUACAGAAUCAAUAUUUACAGGUUCAAAUAAAUUAAGAACAAUAACAUGACAAUGUGGAGUUAUUCACAGCUUGAAAUGGAAAAUUCCUCGCAGUAUGACCUGUGGAAUGCAAAGGUGAGAAGGUGACGUGCCCCUCACCUUUCAUACAUCACAGCAGAAAUAAGAGACAAAACUAGAAGCAGUACUGGACCAAACUCAACCGUCUGCAGCAAGUGGGACAAGGGGUGACCAAGCCGGCCCAGAAACAUUCAUAACCUGGAGGUUUUGGUUUUGAUGCGGCCCUGAUAACCAGCUAUGGAGGACGAUGGCGGACGUUUGGUAUCAGAGGGAGAAGAUGCAUCUCAGACGCUGCAUCGCUUUUGUGCAGCGGAACAUGCACGUGCUCACCCUG
Dunckerocampus dactyliophorus (ringed pipefish) is the source of this 2416-nucleotide long non-coding RNA. RefSeq lists it as uncharacterized. The transcript has 5 exons. NCBI's taxonomy places the organism in Eukaryota, Metazoa, Chordata, Actinopteri, Syngnathiformes, Syngnathidae. The record is from RefSeq and is a predicted model, not a curated record.